Molecule: ribosomal RNA, 253 nt
Filed under: uncultured bacterium
Lineage: Bacteria
Description: partial 16S ribosomal RNA
Rfam family: Bacterial small subunit ribosomal RNA
Source: RNAcentral
UACGGGGGGGGCAAGCGUUGUUCGGAAUUACUGGGCGUAAAGGGUGCGUAGGCGGCGCGGUAAGUCGGGUGUGAAAUCUUGGAGCUUAACUCCGAAACUGCAUUCGAUACUGCCGUGCUUGAGGACUGGAGAGGAGACUGGAAUUUACGGUGUAGCGGUGAAAUGCGUAGAUAUCGUAAGGAAGACCAGUGGCGAAGGCGGGUCUCUGGACAGUUCCUGACGCUGAGGCACGAAGGCCAGGGGAGCAAACGGG